Molecule: long non-coding RNA, 1935 nt
Filed under: Helianthus annuus (common sunflower)
Lineage: Eukaryota; Viridiplantae; Streptophyta; Magnoliopsida; Asterales; Asteraceae
Description: hypothetical non coding rna
Source: RNAcentral
AUGUACAUGCUCAAUCAUCUAGUAUGCAACGCGAUGUUGCAGUGUAACACAUGACCAUUACUGUUGUUUGAGCUUUGAACUGAUGAUUUGAAGUUGAAACAUUUGGAUUAACACUUGGAUAUGAAAAAAAUCCACUGUUGUUGUUUGAGCUUUGAUUGACUGAUCCGGAUGAGUUUUCUGCACUGAAAGCAGUUUGGAUCUUUGGACUAGCUUCAACAUUUUGAACAUUACCUUUGUAGUACAUCUUGAUGUCUUGUUGACCGCUUGAAUUGUUCAUUGUAGCAAUCUUUUGUUGCUCAAGAUCUUGUCCCUCAAGUUUCUCAAUAAAUUGUGCAAUCGAAAAUCUACUAUACUUUUCGGAAUUCUUUAAAAUCAUGAGAUAUGUACCCCAUUCUUUUUGAGGUAACGCAUCGACUAAUUUCUCAACCCAUUCCUCUAGAGUUUUAGUAAUUUCCAAUCGAGACACUGAACGCACUAGAUGAUAAUAUCUCUCAAUGAGAGUCUUUGUAGUUUCUCCUGGCACACUUGUAAACAGAUCAAAUUCUUUCUUCAAUAAUGAUUUUUUACUCUUGAUCAUCUCUGCACUUCCUUUGAAUUUUUUGCGAAGUGCAUCCCAAAUUGAAUAAGCACUACUAUCAUGUUAAAGUAAUAUGAAAAUAUCUUCUUUCACAGUUUGUUGAAGUAAACUGACCAUCAUUUUUUCUGCCUUGUACAUAUCUCUCUCUUUAUCUGAAAAUUCUGAGAUAAUCUUUGCAACUCUCAAAUCAGACAGUGGUCUAGCAUACUUUGUUUCAAUAUGUUGGGAUUGAACCCUAUCAGAGGAACAGAUAAUGAAAGCCAAAACCGGAUCACAAAAAUGGAUUCACAAUAAGCAGCUGUUUACUAUAAGCUUUCCCCUUGACUAUGACUCCAACAUCUGAUAUACUCCAACAUGUUUGUUAGAAACGUUCGUGAAAAGCGUUAGUUUGGAAGCAAUUUUCUAAUUGUUUAGUUUCUAACGUGUGUAUUAGAAAUGACUUAUUUAUUUGAACCAUAUAUAUGUUUUUAGCAACUUGAAUUAACAUUUUGUGGAAAUGUUAAUAUUUCUAACGUGCACGUUAAAAUUUCUUUCAUUUUAACAUGAUUGUUAAAAAUGAUUAAAAUACAAAUGCUUUGAAAUGUUUUAUGUAAACAUUUUAUAUAAGUAAUUUGUUGUAGUAUUGAUUUUAAUGCUUUGUAUGAUUUAGAAAUAAAAGGUCAUACAUUGAAGUUGAUGUUUGAUUCACUUCAAGAAUUUAAUCACCAUAAAGUGAUGGUGUAGUUGUGUGUGAUUUAUCACCAACUUUAAUUUGUGAUUUUUAAUCCAUUUAAGUGAAAUUAUAAUUACUAAUUAAACUUUUCAUAUGAUGAAACUCUUGAGUAGAGUUUUUAUGUCACUUUAUUAGUUUUUAUUAGAGUUUAUGUCUCUAAUAAAUCUCUAAUUAAGUGAAACUCUUGAGUAGAGUUUUAAUAAUGACAUUUGAUGAGUUUUAUUGGAGUUUAAGACUAUAAUUAUUGAGAUUCUUAACUCUUUAGGCUACAAGGUAUGGUGAUGGUCCUCCAAUGGAGGAUGAUCCGCCACGUAGGCGUCACGUCAUAGUCCUCCCAAGGAUGCUCCAUCCCCCAAAAGUAGAGGGUAUGGGAGGAUGGUCCUAGUCAUAGUCCUCCCACCAUUUUUAUGUUUUUUUUUAAUCUUCUACUUUUUUUAACAUUUAACAAAUAAACUAACAAAAUAUUUUUAUUAAUUUAAAAAAAAACAAUGACUUAAUAAAAAAACAUAGACUUAAAUAAUUUCUAAAUUCAAAAAUAAAGAACUUUAGGAACCAAACUAGAAUUUGAUCUAAAUCAAAGGGACCAUAUGUGUAAUUUACAAAGAAUAAAGAAAGAAUCUGUCUAAAUCAGGGGGGCCAACCACUC